UGCUGGAGCUGGCUGCCCCUCCCCCAUGCUCCCACACCUCGCUAGCCUUUAUAGCCUUGUGGCUUAACUCUUUCCCAUUUGAUGGUGAAGUAACAAAGCUGCAACCUUGUCAUGCCCCCAGAAUCCAGUGUAGUGACAGAUGAUCAGUGAAUGAUUAAUGAAUGACUGCAGAAACUUGGAUAAGUGGCAGUGAAAAUUAUUGAUCAAGAUACACUGUUAAGCCAGGCACAGAGGCACCCAGUGACUUGGGAGGCUGAAUCAGGAGGAUUGCAAGUUUGAAUCCAGCCUCAGCAACUUAGUGAGGACCCAAGAAACUUAAUGAGACCCUGUCCCAAAUAAAAAUAAAAAGGGCUGGGGAUGUGGCUCACUGUAGUAUAACCCUGGAUUCAAUCUUCAGUACCAAAACAAAAAGUCAAAACGCUGCUAAGCUUGCCCACCCAGGAUGCAGUGCAAACGCUUACUUGUGAGUGGGACAGAGCAUAUGAAUUUCUUAAUAAAAUGUCAAAGGAUGAUGCUCACGAGAAAGUAAAGUGUAAAAGUAAAAAUAAAGAGAGAAACAAUUGAAUGGGGUGGGGAAGGGCAGCUUUGCUUGGCUUGGAAGUUUGGGGAGCCUUUUGAUGAGACAGAAGGGCUCUACAAUGGUGUGGAAAGUCGUGAAGUGUUCUGAGGAUUCAAGAGACCAGUUGAAACUUCAUUCUAAAGGUCAGGGGAAGUCACUGAAAGAUUUUGCACAGGGGAGAACAAGGACGAGAGUCUUGUAAAAAAUAUACGUGACUAUAUGACCAAUGUGAUUCUGC
Molecule: long non-coding RNA, 797 nt
Filed under: Marmota monax (woodchuck)
Lineage: Eukaryota; Metazoa; Chordata; Mammalia; Rodentia; Sciuridae
Source: RNAcentral